Molecule: unclassified non-coding RNA, 98 nt
Organism: Chlorocebus sabaeus (green monkey)
Lineage: Eukaryota; Metazoa; Chordata; Mammalia; Primates; Cercopithecidae
Rfam family: Y RNA
About the family: Y RNAs are components of the Ro ribonucleoprotein particle (Ro RNP), in association with Ro60 and La proteins.
Source: Ensembl
GGCUGGUCCAACUGUACUGGUUUUUACAACUAACCGAUCACAACAAGUUACAGAUUUCUUUGUUCCUUCUCCACUCGCACUGCUUCACUUGACUUAAA